CCUACGGGUGGCAGCAGUGAGGAAUAUUGGUCAAUGGCCGGAAGGCUGAACCAGCCAAGCCGCGUGAAGGACGAAGGUGCCAAGCAUUGUAAACUUCUUUUGUCAAGGGACAAAAUCAGGUUCGAGAGCCUGACCGAGGGUACUUGAAGAAAAAGCAUCGGCUAAGUCUGUGCCAGCAGCCGCGGUAAUACGGAGGGUGCGAGCGUUAUCGGGAUUUAUUGGGUUUAAAGGGUGCGUAGGCGGGCGGUUAAGUCCGCGGUAAAAGCCCGGGGCUCAACCCCGGCGCGCAGUUGAAACUGGGUGUCUUGAGAUGUCGAGAGGUAAGCGGAAUGCGCAGUGUAGCGGUGAAAUGCUUAGAUAUUGGGCAGAACUCCGGUUGCGAAGGCAGCAUACCGGAGGCGAUCUGACGCUGAGGCACGAAAGCGUGGGUAUCGAACAGGAUUAGAUACCCCUGUAGUC
This 459-nucleotide ribosomal RNA is filed under the name uncultured bacterium. RNAcentral's name for it is "partial 16S ribosomal RNA". It matches the Rfam family "Bacterial small subunit ribosomal RNA", at positions 338 to 795 of the family's 1533-position model. The record is from RNAcentral.